RNAcentral lists this small RNA (270 nucleotides) under Mesocricetus auratus (golden hamster). Its description in RNAcentral is "7SK RNA (ENSMAUG00000006889.1)". The record is from RNAcentral. Lineage: Eukaryota; Metazoa; Chordata; Mammalia; Rodentia; Cricetidae.
GGGUGUGAAGGCAAGCUGGCUGUGGUGUCCACCCAUGCCCACCACGCUUUCGUCGACUGGCCGGGCAACGCCCUUCCUCCCUCGCUGCUCCCCUGGGAGCCCGCUCAGCUGACAAGAAGGGCCUUCAACAAACGCAGGGCCAGUCUUCAGUGAGGGCAUAUGAGCAGCUGAGCCACUUGCUGGAGCCUCCAAACCAUCCUCAUUUUAAAACCUAAAGAUUUAACAGGAAAGGGGAGAGGAUGGUUUUCAGAUUGUGGGAUUUUGGUUUUU